AGAGCGAACGCUGGCGGCAGGCCUAACACAUGCAAGUCGAGCGCCGUAGCAAUACGGAGCGGCAGACGGGAGAGUAACACGUGGGAACGUACCCUUUGGUUCGGAACAACCCAGGGAAACUUGGGCUAAUACCGAAUAAGCCCUUACGGGGAAAGAUUUAUCGCCGAAGGAUCGGCCCGCGUCUGAUUAGCUAGUUGGUGGGUAACGCCCACAAGGCGACGAUCAGUAGCUGGUCUGAGAGGAUGAUCAGCCUCAUUGGGACUGAGACACGGCCCAAACUCCUACGGGAGGCAGCAGUGGGGAAUAUUGGACAAUGGGCGCAAGCCUGAUCCAGCCAUGCCGCGUGGGUGAUGAAGGCCCUAGGGUUGUAAAGCCCUUUCGGCGGGGAAGAUAAUGACGGUACCGCAGAAGACGCCCGGCUAACUUCGCGCCAGCAGCCGC
This 441-nucleotide ribosomal RNA is filed under the name uncultured bacterium. RNAcentral's name for it is "SSU rRNA". It matches the Rfam family "Bacterial small subunit ribosomal RNA", at positions 26 to 518 of the family's 1533-position model. The record is from RNAcentral.